Molecule: ribosomal RNA, 164 nt
Filed under: uncultured Tricholoma
Lineage: Eukaryota; Fungi; Basidiomycota; Agaricomycetes; Agaricales; Tricholomataceae
Description: partial 28S ribosomal RNA
Rfam family: Eukaryotic large subunit ribosomal RNA
Source: RNAcentral
GCAUAUCAAUAAGCGGAGGAAAAGAAACUAACAAGGAUUCCCCUAGUAACUGCGAGUGAAGCGGGAGAAGCUCAAAUUUAAAAUCUGAUGGUCUUUAUGGCCUUCCGAGUUGUAAUCUAGAGAAGUGCUAUCCGCGCUGGACCGUGUAAAGGUUCUUCCUGAAA